This 254-nucleotide ribosomal RNA is filed under the name uncultured bacterium. RNAcentral describes it as "partial 16S ribosomal RNA". It matches the Rfam family "Bacterial small subunit ribosomal RNA", at positions 524 to 776 of the family's 1533-position model. The record is from RNAcentral.
UACGGGGGGAGCAAGCGUUGUUCGGAUUUACUGGGCGGAAAGGGCGCGUAGGCGGUCAGUGCAAGUCAGUUGUGAAAUCUCCGGGCUUAACUCGGAACGGUCAACUGAUACUGCUCGACUAGAGUGCGGAAGGGGCAACUGGAAUUCUUGGUGUAGCGGUGAAAUGCGUAGAUAUCAAGAGGAACACCUGCGGCGAAGGCGGGUUGCUGGGCCGACACUGACGCUGAGGCGCGAAAGCUAGGGGAGCAAACGGG